This 397-nucleotide ribosomal RNA is filed under the name uncultured bacterium. Its description in RNAcentral is "partial 16S ribosomal RNA". It matches the Rfam family "Bacterial small subunit ribosomal RNA", at positions 523 to 918 of the family's 1533-position model. The record is from RNAcentral.
AUACGUAGGGGGCGAGCGUUGUCCGGAAUGAUUGGGCGUAAAGGGCGCGUAGGCGGCGCGGUAAGUCUGGAGUGAAAGUCCUGCUUUCAAGGUGGGAAUUGCUUUGGAUACUGCCGCGCUUGAGUGCAGGAGAGGUUAUCGGAAUUCCCGGUGUAGCGGUGAAAUGCGUAGAGAUCGGGAGGAACACCAGUGGCGAAGGCGGGUAACUGGACUGCAACUGACGCUGAGGCGCGAAAGUGUGGGGAGCAAACAGGAUUAGAUACCCUGGUAGUCCACGCGGUAAACGAUGAAUGCUAGGUGUUGCGGGUAUCGACCCCUGCAGUGCCGGAGUAAACACAAUAAGCAUUCCGCCUGGGGAGUACGGCCGCAAGGUUGAAACUCAAAUGAAUUGGCGGGG